UAGCGGCGAUAAGACGUGUGAUCUAUUCCGUAUACCGAACACAGUAAUUAAGCCCACAAACGCCGAAGGUACUUGGUUGGAAACGGCCUGGGAGAUUAGGAAGUUGCCGGUU
This 112-nucleotide ribosomal RNA is filed under the name Sporomusa silvacetica DSM 10669. The record is from RNAcentral. Lineage: Bacteria; Bacillati; Bacillota; Negativicutes; Selenomonadales; Sporomusaceae.